This 407-nucleotide ribosomal RNA is filed under the name uncultured Methylomirabilota bacterium. RNAcentral's name for it is "bacterial SSU rRNA". It matches the Rfam family "Bacterial small subunit ribosomal RNA", at positions 1026 to 1432 of the family's 1533-position model. The record is from RNAcentral. Lineage: Bacteria; Methylomirabilota (SeqCode).
GCGUGGAGACAGGUGGUGCAUGGCUGUCGUCAGCUCGUGUCGUGAGAUGUUGGGUUAAGUCCCGCAACGAGCGCAACCCUCACCCCUUGUUGCCAUCAGGUCAUGCUGGGCACUCUAGGGGAACUGCCCCGGUCAACGGGGAGGAAGGCGGGGAUGACGUCAAGUCAUCAUGCCCCUUACGUCCUGGGCUACACACGUGCUACAAUGGCCCGUACAAAGGGAUGCAACGCCGCGAGGCAGAGCCAAACCCAAAAAGCCGGUCUAAGUUCAGAUUGGAGUCUGCAACUCGACUCCAUGAAGGAGGAAUCGCUAGUAAUCGCGUAUCAGCACGACGCGGUGAAUACGUUCCCGGGCCUUGUACACACCGCCCGUCACACCACGAAAGCCAGCUGUACUCGAAGUCGCUG